This 433-nucleotide ribosomal RNA is filed under the name uncultured bacterium. Its description in RNAcentral is "partial 16S ribosomal RNA". It matches the Rfam family "Bacterial small subunit ribosomal RNA", at positions 29 to 507 of the family's 1533-position model. The record is from RNAcentral.
AACGAACGCUGGCGGCAUGCCUAACACAUGCAAGUCGAACGAGACCUUCGGGUCUAGUGGCGCACGGGGGCGUAACGCGUGGGAACCUGCCCUUAGGUUCGGAAUAACUCCCCGAAAGGGGUGCUAAUACCGGAUAAUGUCUUCGGACCAAAGAUUUAUCGCCUUGGGAUGGGCCCGCGUUGGAUUAGCUAGUUGGUAGGGUAAAAGCCUACCAAGGCGACGAUCCAUAGCUGGUCUGAGAGGAUGAUCAGCCACACUGGGACUGAGACACGGCCCAGACUCCUACGGGAAGCAGCAGUGGGGAAUAUUGGACAAUGGGCGAAAGCCUGAUCCAGCAAUGCCGCGUGAGUGAUGAAGGCCUUAGGGUUGUAAAGCUCUUUUACCCGGGAUGAUAAUGACAGUACCGGGAGAAUAAGCGCCGGCUAACUCCGUG